Molecule: ribosomal RNA, 372 nt
Filed under: uncultured organism
Description: bacterial SSU rRNA
Rfam family: Bacterial small subunit ribosomal RNA
Source: RNAcentral
CGAAGGGUGCAAGCGUUGCUCGGAAUUAUUGGGCGUAAAGGGUAGGUAGGUGGUUACGUAUGUCUGGGGUGAAAUCCCUGAGCUCAACUCAGGAAGUGCCUUGGAAACGGCGUAACUAGAGUGCUAGAGAGGUUCGUGGAAUUCCCAGUGUAGCGGUGAAAUGCGUAGAGAUUGGGAGGAACACCAGAGGCGAAGGCGGCGAACUGGAUAGCAACUGACACUGAACUACGAAAGCGUGGGUAGCAAACAGGAUUAGAUACCCUGGUAGUCCACGCUGUAAACGAUGGGUACUAGGCUUCGUGGGAGUUGACCCCUGCGGAGCCGGAGCUAACGCAAUAAGUACCCCGCCUGGGAAGUACGGUCGCAAGACUA